GAUGAAGAACGUAGCGAAAUGCGAUAAGUAAUGUGAAUUGCAGAAUUCAGUGAAUCAUCGAAUCUUUGAACGCACAUUGCGCCCGCCAGCACUCUGGCGGGCAUGCCUGUUCGAGCGUCAUUUCAACCAUCAAGCCCCCAGGGGCUUGUGCUGGGGCCCUGCGGCUGCCCGCAGGCCCUGAAAACCAGUGGCGGGCUCGCUAGUCACACCGAGCGCAGUAGCACAUCUCGCUCAGGGCGUGCGGCGGGCUCCUGCCGUGAAACCCCCCACUGUAACCCCAAAGGUUGACCUCGGAUCAGGUAUGAAUACCCGCUGAACUUAAGCAUAUCAAUAAGCGGAGGA
RNAcentral lists this unclassified non-coding RNA (342 nucleotides) under soil metagenome. RNAcentral's name for it is "partial contains 5.8S ribosomal RNA, internal transcribed spacer 2, and large subunit ribosomal RNA". The stretch from base 1 to 120 matches the Rfam family "5.8S ribosomal RNA", at positions 35 to 154 of the family's 154-position model. The record is from RNAcentral.